This 68-nucleotide small RNA is filed under the name bovine gut metagenome. The record is from RNAcentral.
UCCUCUACAACCGCACAAAAAAGGUUCUAAAAAAUAUAUAAUAUUUACCUUAAUUGGCGAGUCUUAGA